CAGUCGCCACGGGAAUACAGAGGGUGCAAGCGUUAAUCGGAAUUACUGGGCGUAAAGCGCGCGUAGGUGGUUUGUUAAGUUGGAUGUGAAAUCCCCGGGCUCAACCUGGGAACUGCAUCCAAAACUGGCAGGCUAGAGUAGGGCAGAGGGUGGUGGAAUUUCCUGUGUAGCGGUGAAAUGCGUAGAUAUAGGAAGGAACACCAGUGGCGAAGGCGACCACCUGGGCUCAUACUGACACUGAGGUGCGAAAGCGUGGGGAGCAAACAGGAUUAGAUACCCCCGUAGUCCCUGUCUCUUAUAA
This 301-nucleotide ribosomal RNA is filed under the name uncultured bacterium. Its description in RNAcentral is "partial 16S ribosomal RNA". It matches the Rfam family "Bacterial small subunit ribosomal RNA", at positions 509 to 809 of the family's 1533-position model. The record is from RNAcentral.